This 1022-nucleotide long non-coding RNA is filed under the name Olea europaea subsp. europaea. Lineage: Eukaryota; Viridiplantae; Streptophyta; Magnoliopsida; Lamiales; Oleaceae. The record is from RNAcentral.
CUCCACAGCAACAUUUUCUUCCUGCUCGUACUCCGACUCAGUGAAUUCCUCUCCCAAAAUACCCUCCUCAUAUUCAUCAUCCAGCUCAGGACCUUCACCAAACUCCACAUCAGUUUCAGCAGCCUGCACCUCUGGUUCGGCAUCAUGCAACUCAUGUUCAACAGCUUGCACCUCUUGUUCAGCAGCAUGCAGCUCCUGCUGAGCCUGCUGCUGUGGUCCAGAAGCAUACACAUCAAUUUCAGUAGGCUACACCUCUGCUUCGACAUCCUGUUCAGCAGCCUGCACCUCUUGUUCAGCAGCAUGCAGCUCCUGCUGAGCCUGCUGCUGUGGUUCAGCGUCAUGCAGCUCAUGUUCAGACCUCAACUGUGGUUCAACAUCAUGUGGUUUCUCCGGUUCAGCAGCAUGCACUUCUGAUUCAUGUGAGUCUACUUCAGCCCCUAUAAAAUCAACCUCUGUAUACUCAUGCUCUGUUCCAUGCACUGUAUAAACUUCCUCUUCAUCUGCUUCCAUGUCAUCCACUUCAUCAACUACAUACACGUCAUCACCUUCUACUGAUUCAUCAAAAAUCUCAAUUACAUAACAUGGUUGCUGCUCAUUCAAUGCUUCACCAGACUUUUGAACCUUCACCAACUCCUCACCAGUCUCACAAUCAAACACUCGAACAUCCUUCUGUUCUAUUUCAUACCAAGGCAACUCCAAAACCUCAACUACAGGCAAGCAAUACAGUUCAGCUGUCCUAUUAUCACCAAGCCACUUCACUAAAUUUAUGAAAUCUGAGUCUUUAACCAACCAAAAUGAACCUUCACUCAUUCUUUUCUUCUCCAUCUUGUACAGAUAUCUAAUUCUAUCAGAAUAUCCUAACAUCUUCACGGCAUUGUCCAAAAGAAAUCUAUUGAAGAAAUCAGGGUCGAUAUAGUCUAUAUAACUUAUUUUCCCAUGCUCAUACACAAAAUUUCUCAUCUUCUGCAAUAAAAUUCCACCAUGAUGAAGCCGUAUGCUGAAGUACUUUGAAUUUUCCCCUG